Molecule: long non-coding RNA, 614 nt
Organism: Neoarius graeffei (lesser salmon catfish)
Lineage: Eukaryota; Metazoa; Chordata; Actinopteri; Siluriformes; Ariidae
Exons: 3
Source: RefSeq, a predicted model, not a curated record
GGUGAAAGUCAAAGUGAAGUGUCUCUCUCUUCUACCAGUCAUUCGACCCCUGAGAAUCUUGAAAAUGGUGAACUCGAUCAAUAUGAAAGAUAUAAUGAUGAAGAACUGGCUGAGAGACUUAAUGAUUUGGAUCAGAACCUCUAUGAUGGGUGCCAAAUAACAAGGCGAGAGAGUAUUCUACUCAUAAUGGGACACAUCAUAAGGAAUCAUGUGAGUGGAACAGCUCUGCAGAGCCUACUGACAGUCUUGGAGGCACAUUUACCAGCUGGAACUGUAUUCCCUGCUUCCCAAUAUCUUUUUAUGAAGAACUUUAAAAACAGUGACAUCACUCUAAGAUUUCACUCAUACUGCCCUUCUUGUAUAACCUACAUUGGAAGUAAUGAUAUGUGGUGUGAAAAUUGUGACACAAAUGUGUCUGUAAGUGACUGCAUAGAUAAUGGCAAUUAUUUUAUAACAUUUGAUGUUAAAGAUCAAUUGUUAUCUAUGCUACAGAAUGAAGAUAUUUGUAAACACCUACAAAUUGGGGCAAAAAGGGGACUUUGUGAUUCCUAUGGAGGUCGAUUAUAUCGUAAACUCCCUCUCGAGAAUGAUGACAUUACUGUUUCAUUCAACAC